RNAcentral lists this ribosomal RNA (247 nucleotides) under uncultured bacterium. RNAcentral's name for it is "partial 16S ribosomal RNA". It matches the Rfam family "Bacterial small subunit ribosomal RNA", at positions 523 to 769 of the family's 1533-position model. The record is from RNAcentral.
AUACGUAGGGGGCAAGCGUUAUCCGGAUUUACUGGGUGUAAAGGGAGCGUAGACGGUGAUGUAAGUCAGAUGUGAAAGCCCAGGGCUCAACCCUGGGACUGCAUUUGAAACUAUGUUGCUAGAGUGCAGGAGAGGUAAGUGGAAUUCCUAGUGUAGCGGUGAAAUGCGUAGAUAUUAGGAGGAACACCAGUGGCGAAGGCGGCUUACUGGACUGUAACUGACGUUGAGGCUCGAAAGCGUGGGGAGC